Molecule: ribosomal RNA, 253 nt
Filed under: uncultured bacterium
Lineage: Bacteria
Description: partial 16S ribosomal RNA
Rfam family: Bacterial small subunit ribosomal RNA
Source: RNAcentral
UACGUAGGGUGCAAGCGUUAAUCGGAAUUACUGGGCGUAAAGCGUGCGCAGGCGGUUUUGUAAGUCUGUCGUGAAAUCCCCGGGCUCAACCUGGGAAUUGCGAUGGAGACUGCAAGGCUUGAAUCUGGCAGAGGGGGGUAGAAUUCCACGUGUAGCAGUGAAAUGCGUAGAGAUGUGGAGGAACACCGAUGGCGAAGGCAGCCCCCUGGGUCAAGAUUGACGCUCAUGCACGAAAGCGUGGGGAGCAAACAGG